CUCCAGCCACCAGCAAGCUCUCUCCUUGGUGUCCCCAGCUCCUGCCCCUCAUGCUGAUAGAAGCAUUGCCCGCUGUUCUUCCUGUUCUUACAGGUUUCCUAGUGCCUGUGACCAAACACCUUGUGUGUGCUCCCCAGGAGAGAAAACCGCUAGCAGCCUCAGGUGAGGAGUUGUUCCUCCUCAGACCCAGGAAUCAUUUCCCAGUGGAAUGACACGGUGAAGUGGAUCGCC
RNAcentral lists this long non-coding RNA (231 nucleotides) under Homo sapiens (human). The record is from RNAcentral. Lineage: Eukaryota; Metazoa; Chordata; Mammalia; Primates; Hominidae.